Long non-coding RNA from Carcharodon carcharias (great white shark), 1849 nucleotides. RefSeq lists it as uncharacterized. The transcript has 3 exons. NCBI's taxonomy places the organism in Eukaryota, Metazoa, Chordata, Chondrichthyes, Lamniformes, Lamnidae. The record is from RefSeq and is a predicted model, not a curated record.
GGAGGCAGCAACACUGAAGAGACUGGUUGUCGGUAGUGCAUGUUUCAGAUGCUUAGCUGGGUAUAUAAGUACUAGAAAUGUGGUCCCACUUUCUGAUUAGAAAGUAUUCUCAGCAGCCCCCUCCUGCGUGCGUGAGUCCUGACCUCUACUGACCUCUGGAGGGGAGAAGGUAGCUUCUCGCAGUCCUGUUCAGCACAGCUCAUAUGUAUCAAGGUGUGCUGUGCUGCAGCAUCCAUUCAAGUGAAGGUUGCCUCUCCUAAACUCCUGGUUUUGUCCUUCAUCGUGGUCUGCCUCUCUUCUCUCUGUCUCUGUCUCUCUCGGUUGCUCUCUCUCUCUCUCCCUCUCUCUGUGCCUUUCAGCUACUGCUUGUCGCUUGUAUGCUAUACCUUCUAACACCCAUCAAUGUGGCAAGCCUGUGCUGCAGCAGGAUAGAAGGAGUUGGGGCUGCUAAAUUCCGAAGAAUUUCUACAUCUGAGGACUAAUACCAUCACAGGGCCCGUUUUCUGCAUAAGAGAUUGGUUAUGAGAGAAGGCUGACGGCUGCUGCAUGAAGUGCAUUAUUACCUCGUGAUACUGUGACCCUCCUCUAUGCAUCCCUAACUCUCCAAAGCUGAUUCAGCUUUCAGCUAGUGCUCUGGUGACACAACUGCUGCAACAGAAUCUCUGAUCUGCGUCGCCACUCUGGCCACAUUGUUAGGGGAGGUUUAAAGCUCAGCCCGGAAUGACUGUGAAGCAGACAGAGAAAGACAGAGACUGAGAAAGAGCGACUGAAAGCACAGGAUGGGACUGGAAAUCAUGAGGGGCCGAACCGGUGCUGCGUCCGGCCUUAUGAAAUCUCUGUUGUGGGGAAGCCUUGCUGUCUAACAGCGACUUACAAGUGAACUGUCAGUGAUGGCAACAGAUGUGUGCUUCAGCUGCACCAAGACUAAAUGUGCAUGCACCCUAAAAUCAAGAAGUAAUCCCGGGAGAAAUUACAUACCCACCAGUCAAAAUUCUGGUUUAGGAGACCCCAUAAUUAAUGGAAUUUGUCAUUUGAACCUAGGAAACUCUGAAGAGGACAAAAGUGCCUGUCUGCAAUUUUCUAGGAGACGUUAAUGUCUGUUCUUAAACUUUCAAAUGCGAAAUGCUUAUCUGCCAAUAAAUAAGAUAUAGAAUAGUCGAAUACUUAGAGAACUACAUACAGUAAAUGAACAGUGAUAGGCUAAAAUACCAUUAAAAAGUUGAUGUGGCUGAAAUUUUACCAGUGCAAUUGGUAAGUACAAUAUUAUUCUACGUAGCAGUGGAUCUGCAAAGUGGCUGUAUGCUGAUUAAGAUAUGAUAAUCGAUUACAUUCUUACAGAAAAUGUGAAUGUUUUUUUAAUUGAUAAAUCAAUAUUUCAGAUAAACAACUGCCCUUUCUUGAGUCAAAUGCUUUGCUAAAGCUGGUAAAAUGGAACCAAAUCAACUCUUCUAUGGAUUUGGUCCCCUUCAACCAGCUGUAGCUGUGCAUUGAUCGCCACAGCAUGAGCUGGAGACAGAGAACGUGCCUGAGCUGAAACUGUCAAUGAAGGCUGAAGAUAAACAGCUAUGAAGACAUUGUCAAUAGGGAAAUUAUGAUGCUUGACAUCUACAAAUAUAUCAUGUUCACGUAAACUGAUAGGCUGAACCCUAAUCAAGUAGGCCUGUAGAUAUCUAAGAGCAUAUGGAAAGAGAAAUCUUUAUUCCUUUCAAAGUGUUAUACUUUUUCCCCUAACAUGAAAUCGUGAUGCAUAAAAGCAAUAUCUUUCUUAUGUAGUCAGCUUGUAAUAUUAGUUAAUCAAUACUUGUACAAGUUGUGUGUUGAUUAUAUAAAUAAAUGGUUUAAUCUCUUU